Molecule: microRNA precursor, 81 nt
Filed under: Bombyx mori (domestic silkworm)
Lineage: Eukaryota; Metazoa; Arthropoda; Insecta; Lepidoptera; Bombycidae
Description: mir-2807 microRNA precursor family
Rfam family: mir-2807 microRNA precursor family
Source: Rfam by way of RNAcentral
ACGGUCUCAAUUUGUAUGGAGUUGGAACGUUUGCUCACGUUUUCUACUAGUCAUGUUCCAACUUCAUACAAAUUUGAGUUA